This 260-nucleotide non-coding RNA is filed under the name Faecalibacterium prausnitzii. Its description in RNAcentral is "T-box sequence". It matches the Rfam family "T-box leader". From Rfam's summary of the family: Uncharged tRNA acts as the effector for transcription antitermination of genes in the T-box leader family. T-boxes are found upstream of many aminoacyl-tRNA synthetase genes and some amino acid biosynthetic genes usually in Gram-positive bacteria. Lineage: Bacteria; Bacillati; Bacillota; Clostridia; Eubacteriales; Oscillospiraceae. The record is from RNAcentral.
UGAAAGGCGAAGAAGGGAAUAAGUACCCUGAAGCGCUCUGCCCAGAGAGGCCCCGGUUGGUGAAAGGGGCGUGCAGAGCAGCGGGGGAAAUACCUCCCGGAGCUGCAAGCUGAAUGAGAAGCUUUCUCUAGUAGGCCGUGCCGCGUGCGAGCGUUACAAACGCAGGAGUGUUGUCCUACUCUGGGGCAUGCACUCGUGAGGCCGUUUCCGUGAGGAGGCGGCAAACAGAGGUGGUACCGCGAUUUUUUCUCGCCCUCUGC